UAUGGGACUAGUCCGGGUGGUUUGGCGUCACCUGUAAUCUGAGAUUGUCAAUAUGCAGAGGACGAAGUUUGAGGACGGCUAUGGCAGUCCUUUCAAAGCAGCAGAAUUUCCGACGUUGAUACCUCGUCCUUCGAGGUCAGCGGAUAAAUAAAGCUUCUCCGGAGGGAGAAUCUUGUUUAUUGUCGCGAGCACCGGUUCAGGCCCGGAAGGGAGCAGACUUAUCGCGAACGCAUGGCGCCCGCAGGGUAGCGGGGCGGAGUCUGGUUCUAUUGUGGAGACUGGAUAUGUGUUUCCUACCGAAAACGUGUCCCGAU
Molecule: signal recognition particle RNA, 314 nt
Filed under: Methanocorpusculum sp.
Lineage: Archaea; Methanobacteriati; Methanobacteriota; Methanomicrobia; Methanomicrobiales; Methanocorpusculaceae
Description: signal recognition particle sRNA
Rfam family: Archaeal signal recognition particle RNA
Source: RNAcentral